This 327-nucleotide ribosomal RNA is filed under the name uncultured eukaryote. Its description in RNAcentral is "partial 18S ribosomal RNA". It matches the Rfam family "Eukaryotic small subunit ribosomal RNA", at positions 1470 to 1796 of the family's 1831-position model. The record is from RNAcentral.
CCCUUAGAUGUUCUGGGCCGCACACGCGCUACACUGAAGGAGGCAGCGUGUACUCCUGGAUCGAAAGAUUUGGGUAACCCGCGAAUCUCCUUCGUGCUAGGGAUUGAGGUUUGCAAUUAUCCUUCAUGAACGAGGAAUUCCCAGUAAGUGCAAGUCAUAAGCUUGCGCUGACUACGUCCCUGCCCUUUGUACACACCGCCCGUCGCUACUACCGAUUGAAUGAUUUAGUGAGGACUUCGGACUGGGACCGAUGCGGCUUUCGGGCUGCGUCGGUAUUCUGGAAAGAUGUCCAAACUGUAUCUUUUAGAGGAAGUAAAAGUCGUAACA